ACUCAAAGGAAUUGACGGGGGCCCGCACAAGCAGCGGAGCAUGUGGUUUAAUUGGACGCAACGCCAAGAACCUUACCUGGGCUUGACAUGUUCCUGACCCCCCUGGAAACAGGGGUUCCCUUCGGGGCAGGAUCACAGGUGGUGCAUGGCUGUCGUCAGCUCGUGUCGUGAGAUGUUGGGUUAAGUCCCGCAACGAGCGCAACCCUCGUCGUAUGUUGCCAGCAUUUAGUUGGGGACUCAUACGAGACUGCCGGUGACAAACCGGAGGAAGGCGGGGAUGACGUCAAGUCAUCAUGCCCCUUAUGUCCAGGGCUACACACGUGCUACAUUGGCGCAUACAGAGGGCUGCGAUACCGCGAGGUGGAGCGAAUCCCUUAAAGUGCGUCUCGGUUCGGAUUGGAGGCUGAAACCCGCCUCCAUGAAGGUGGAGUUGCUAGUAAUCGCGGAUCAGCAUUGCCGCGGUGAAUACGUUCCCGGGCCUUGUACACACCGCCCGU
RNAcentral lists this ribosomal RNA (497 nucleotides) under uncultured bacterium. Its description in RNAcentral is "partial 16S ribosomal RNA". It matches the Rfam family "Bacterial small subunit ribosomal RNA", at positions 899 to 1397 of the family's 1533-position model. The record is from RNAcentral.